AGAACGAACGCUGGCGGCAUGCCUAACACAUGCAAGUCGAACGCUCUUGGGAUUUCGGUCUCAAGGGAGUGGCGCACGGGUGAGUAGCGCGUGGGAACCUGCCCUGUUGUGGGGGAUAACCGAGGGAAACUUCGGCUAAUACCGCAUAAGCCGGCUGUCUUGCGAAAGAUGGCCGGGAAAGAUUUAUCGCGACAGGAGGGGCCCGCGUCGGAUUAGGUAGUUGGCGGGUAACGGCCCACCAAGCCGGUGAUCCGUAGUUGGUCUGAGAGGAUGAUCAGCCACACUGGGACUGAGACACGGCCCAGACUCCUACGGGAGGCAGCAGUGGGGAAUAUUGGACAAUGGGCGCAAGCCUGAUCCAGCAAUGCCGCGUGAGUGAUGAAGGCCUUAGGGUUGUAAAGCUCUUUCGCCCGCGACGAUGAUGACGGUAGCGGGAGAAGAAGCCCGGCUAACUUCGUGCCAGCAGCCGC
This 470-nucleotide ribosomal RNA is filed under the name uncultured bacterium. Its description in RNAcentral is "SSU rRNA". It matches the Rfam family "Bacterial small subunit ribosomal RNA", at positions 26 to 518 of the family's 1533-position model. The record is from RNAcentral.